UCUCUCCAUUGGCCUCCCUGUUU
RNAcentral lists this microRNA (23 nucleotides) under Ovis aries (sheep). Its description in RNAcentral is "miRNA 40-f". The record is from RNAcentral. Lineage: Eukaryota; Metazoa; Chordata; Mammalia; Artiodactyla; Bovidae.